Molecule: ribosomal RNA, 460 nt
Filed under: uncultured bacterium
Lineage: Bacteria
Description: partial 16S ribosomal RNA
Rfam family: Bacterial small subunit ribosomal RNA
Source: RNAcentral
CCUACGGGUGGCAGCAGUGAGGAAUAUUGGUCAAUGGGCGUAAGCCUGAACCAGCCAAGUCGCGUGAGGGAUGAAGGUUCUAUGGAUCGUAAACCUCUUUUAUAAGGGAAUAAAGUGCGGGACGUGUCCCGUUUUGUAUGUACCUUAUGAAUAAGGAUCGGCUAACUUCGUGCCAGCAGCCGCGGUAAUACGGAGGAUCCGAGCGUUGUCCGGAUUUAUUGGGUUUAAAGGGUGCGUAGGCGGCCUUUUAAGUCAGCGGGGAAAGUCUGUGGCUCAACCAUAGAAUUGCUGUUGAAACUGGGAGGCUUGAGUAUGUUUGAGGCAGGCGGAAUGCGUGGUGUAGCGGUGAAAUGCUUAGAUAUCACGCAGAACCCCGAUUGCGAAGGCAGCCUGCCAAGCCAUGACUGACGCUGAUGCACGAAAGCGUGGGGAUCAAACAGGAUUAGAUACCCGUGUAGUC